AGAGGCAAUCCGGAAAACCCGCGA
RNAcentral lists this non-coding RNA (24 nucleotides) under Arabidopsis thaliana (thale cress). Lineage: Eukaryota; Viridiplantae; Streptophyta; Magnoliopsida; Brassicales; Brassicaceae. The record is from RNAcentral.